UGUGACGAGUUGAUCAUGGCUCAGAACGACGCUGGCGGCGCGCCUAACACAUGCAAGUCGAACGAGAAUCCGGGGCAACCCGGUAGUAAAGUGGCAAACGGGUGAGGAAUACAUGGGUAACCUACCCUUGAGAAGGGAAUAACCCGCCGAAAGGUGAGCUAAUACCCUAUACGCUANCUUUUUUUCGAAAAGGAUAGGAAAGCCGGGUCGAGGACCUGGUACUCAAGGAGGGGCUCAUGUCCUAUCAGCUUGUUGGUGGGGUAACGGCCUACCAAGGCUACGACGGGUAGCUGGUCUGAGAGGAUGAUCAGCCACACCGGCACUGAGAUACGGGCCAGACUCCUACGGGAGGCAGCAGUGAGGAAUAUUGCGCAAUGGGCGAAAGCCUGACGCAGCGACGCCGCGUGGGGGAUGAAGGUUUUCGGAUUGUAAACCCCUUUCAUGAGGAAAGAUAAAGUGGGUAACCACUUAGACGGUACCUCAAGAAGAAGCCACGGCUAACUUCGUG
RNAcentral lists this ribosomal RNA (508 nucleotides) under uncultured bacterium. Its description in RNAcentral is "bacterial SSU rRNA". It matches the Rfam family "Bacterial small subunit ribosomal RNA", at positions 1 to 507 of the family's 1533-position model. The record is from RNAcentral.